This is a long non-coding RNA of Pistacia vera, 2701 nucleotides long. RefSeq lists it as uncharacterized. The record is from RefSeq and is a predicted model, not a curated record. NCBI's taxonomy places the organism in Eukaryota, Viridiplantae, Streptophyta, Magnoliopsida, Sapindales, Anacardiaceae. The transcript has 3 exons.
UCACAAAUUACCACCAAUUCCCAAUUAACCCAAAUCGUAAAAAUCAAUUCCCAAAUUGCAUAAACCCUAUUUUCAAUUGAACUAAACACCUAGCUCUAAACUCAAUUACUCAGCACUGUCAAUCGACCACUAUCGAUUCUCAGCUCGAUUCUCCGUCGGCCGUCGCUUCGUCUCGUCGUGUCAAUCGCCGAUGACGGCAGAUUUUGCGAAGAAGUUGCGUUUCAUUGAUUAAUCCCCUUCAAAAGUGUUCCGUUUUUCAACUACAACAGGUAUGGACCUAUUCUCGACAUCCACUAGCUAGCCGACAUUGGAUAAUUUAACUCCCCAUAACUGGGAUGAUGAAAGAAUGAAUACACAACAGUGUUAGUAGCCCGCCAAAUGAAAAUGAGAAUGAUAAUCUCUUUUCAUAUGAGAAAGAGAGCUAAGACAUCUGCCAUUUAGAUUGGAUUUAAAGAAGUGUUCUUUUCUAACGGUGCGAAGAAGGCAAAGUGUAUCCACUGUAAAUCCAAGCUUCAAAUUACUGCAACCAGAAGCACUACACGAUUUACAAGACAUCUAAAAAGAAGUGUGAGGCCAAUAGCUUCCAUUAGGCAACAACAUAUUAAUUUUUUCCUUGUCGAUUCUAGUGUUGGAGCAUCUUUUCUUCUUGCUCUUACCGUCAAGUUUAACAUGAUGAAGAUGUGGGAAUUGAUUGCAUAAUGGGUGCUUAUGCAUGAGCACCCAUUUACCAUUGUGGAGGAGGAGAGUUUGAACAACAUGAUGACAUAUGGGAUUCUAGAAUGGUCUAGUGUUUCGCGCAAUACUUGUAAAAAUUAUUGUGCAAAGGCAUAUGAAAUGGAGAAACAAGAGUUGAAGACAUUGAUGAAAAGUACUAGGAGGAUUAGUUUGACCACAUAUUUAUGGAAUGCUGACAACCAAAAGAUGGAGUAUAUGGUUUUGAUAAGGCACUAGAUAGAUAAUAAUUGGAGGUUGAACAAACAUGUUCUUAACUUUGUUCGAUUUCCUCCUCCACAUGGUGGUGUGUAGAUUGUUGGUGCAAUUUACAGGUGCUUGACGGAAUGAGAAAUUGAACACAAGGUCAAGACGAUAUCAAUGGACAAUGGUACUAGCAAUGAUGUUGCAAUUAGGGUGUUGAAGGAAAAUUUUGUAGUGACAAGGCGGCUCAGUUGUGGGGAUAAAAUGUUUCAUGUCAGAUGUUAUGCACACAUCUUAAACCUGAUGGUGCAAGAUAGUUUUUGGCAGAUUAGGCUUACUAUCGACGAGACCCAUGAGAGUAUGUCAUUCAUCAAUGCUUCGAAGGAUAGGCUGAAGGUUUUUGUAGAGAUUGUGCAACAAGUGCAUUUGCCGUUGAAGACUUUUUCUUGAUUGUAAAACAAGGUGGAAUUCAAUCUAUGACAUAUUAGCAACUGCAAUUAAGUUCAAAGAACUGUUUCCAAGAUCCAAAGAAAGGAUUUGGGUUAUAAACAUUCUCCAGAUGAUGAAGAUUGGGUGAAAGUAGAGAAAGUCUGUGAGAUUCUAAAGGUUAUUAGUACAAUGACCAAUAUCAUCUCAGGGAGUAAUUAUCCAACAUCAAAUGUAUUCUGAAGCAAGUAUGUAGAAUCAAAGUCUUAUUGGAUAAAAAGAGUGAAAGUGAAGAUGAAUUCAUUAAAAACAAGGUGAGAAAAAUGAGGGUGAUUGAGUUCUCUUUCCUUAAGAUGUAUUUUUACUUUGAUGCACAGACAGAUACUACAAGUGUCUAGGAUGCCUUGUAUGAGGUACAUGGGGAAUAUGUCGUUGAUAGUCAAUCAUCUAGUGUAGCCCAUAGAAGUACAAGUGAAAGGGUUGGACUUGGAGUAAUUGUUGAGAGGACUACGGAAGGAGAAUGCUUGGAUUGGGAUGAAUUUGAUGAUUUUCUGGAUGAGAUUGAAAUUAUUGAGCCAAAUCAAUCUGAGUUGGAUAUUUAUCUGAGCGAGGCAUGUUAUAACUGUUAAGGUGAUUAUGAUGAUUUCAAUGCUUUGGAUUGGUGGAAGACAAAUGCUUUGAAGUACCCUAUCUUAUCUAAGAUGACUCGUGAUAUACUAAUCAUUCAUAUCACUAUGAUGGCUUCAGAGUCUACUCUCAAUGCCGGUAGUAGAGUUUUUGGCACGUAUCGAUAUUCGUUGUCUCCUGAAACGGUGGAAAUGCUAUUAUGUGGAGCCGAUUCGUGUCGCAUUUUAAAUGAUAGAGAAGCAACCAUUGGAGAUUCAACUUCCCAUCUCGGAAGCACUAUUUUAAAACUCGGAUUGGACUUGUCGGUUGGAUCGGUCUGAUUGGGACCUGGUAGCUUCUUUGGUCCGGUUCAGGUUUUAGGGGGGUUUUUGUAAUAUUUCAAAUUUUAUCAGGAUUAAUUGGUAAUUUUUAGGGGUGUUUAGGAGAUAUGUCAAAAUUUUAGGGAUUAAUUGGUAAUUUUUUGGGGUAUUUUUGAAAUGAAUAAAAAUUUUAGGAAUUAAUUUGAAAAUUUUAGGGGUAUUUUUGUAAUAUACUAAAAUUUUAGGGAUUAAUUUAAUUUUUUAUAAAUAAAAGUAUUGUUGACGUCACCGGUCCAACUAGUCAAUCCAUGACCUGAUCACCUUAUUGGGUCUCACAAUGGGUCAAGUUUUAAAAUAAUGCUCAGAAAUUUGAGUUGUGUGAUGUGUAUUUUGAUAAUUUCUUAUGUUUGUUGUGGCUGAUUUAUGUAUUUUGU